GACGAACGCUGGCGGCGUGCUUAACACAUGCAAGUCGAACGGGAAGGCCCCUUUGGGGGUACUCGAGUGGCGAACGGGUGAGUAACACGUGAGUAACCUGCCCUUGACUUCGGGAUAACUUCAGGAAACUGGGGCUAAUACCGGAUAGGAAUCCUUGCUGCAUGGUGGGGGUUGGAAAGCUUCGGCGGUUUUGGAUGGACUCGCGGCUUAUCAGCUUGUUGGUGGGGUAGUGGCUUACCAAGGCUUUGACGGGUAGCCGGCCUGAGAGGGCGACCGGCCACAUUGGGACUGAGAUACGGCCCAGACUCCUACGGGAGGCAGCAGUGGGGAAUAUUGCACAAUGGGCGGAAGCCUGAUGCAGCAACGCCGCGUGCGGGAUGACGGCCUUCGGGUUGUAAACCGCUUUCAGCAGGGGCGAAGCUUGUGGUGACGGUACCUGCAGAAGAAGCACCGGCUAACUACGUG
RNAcentral lists this ribosomal RNA (465 nucleotides) under uncultured bacterium. Its description in RNAcentral is "partial 16S ribosomal RNA". It matches the Rfam family "Bacterial small subunit ribosomal RNA", at positions 28 to 507 of the family's 1533-position model. The record is from RNAcentral.